CGUGACGACAUUCUCGCUCUACAGCGAUUGAAUGUGUUGGCUUGUUGAGCACGAACUCCUCCACCCUCGACGGACACACAGAUUUGGGCGUGGGCGUGCUCCCUUCACGGUUGACGCUGCCGUCUUUUCGUGAGCCGCCAUCCUCGGCUCUCCCUGCCGAUGAUCACACCGGUGUUUGAGUGCAGCCAGGAGGGUGGCUUUGUCGUCAUUCGCCUCGUCCUCUCCGCCAUCUGCAAGGUGACGAACGCCGUGUUUGACAUCCACGAGACGCAGUUCACCUUCUACUGCUCCCCGUACUACCUGCGCCUGCGCUUCGACCAAUGCCUGCAGGAGGGCAAGGGAGAGCGGGCUACGUACGACUUGGAGGCAAACGUGCUCACGGUGUACCUUCCAAAAGCAAACCCGGCGGAGGUCUUCACGAAGCUCGAUAACCCGGCCUACCUCAUCGCGACAGAGAAGCAGCGUGCUUCGCUUAUUCAGGUCCUCAGCGUCGCCAACUCGAGCGACGACGCCACUGGCGUGGGUGAGGAGCUGGAGGAGACCGAGUACAUACAAUCCUUGCCGGAUGCCACCGCGAUUGGCAGCGCCGCGGACCGGAGCGAGAGCCUGGCGCCGGCGGCGCAGUGCAGCUACGGCUUCGCAAACGCGUUCAGCGGACUCUUCCAGAAGCUCGAUGCAGAUGUUGUGCGCGAGGUGGUGAGUCUGCGCGAUAAUCCUGAGUGCACCACGCGCGAAGAGCGCCGGCGAUUGCGCCUCGCUGCUGAGAUGACCGAUUUUGACGUAGAUGCGCUGCUUUUUGCCUUUGAGGACUCGGACGGGGAGGUGGCGCAGGUGUUGCGGUACGUCCCUGCCCACAUUAGGGACUUUGAAAAUGCUCUGCACGGCAACGCUGCCGGGUCGGGAGAGGAGCAGGCGUCGUUGUCGGUGAUGUUCGCGAGUAUCCCUGAAUUGGGCGCGGGCAGGGCAGAUCCGCUGGAAGAGGAGGAGACGACGCUGCUCCCAGGCGACGAUGCGCGACCGGUCACAGUGUGGAGCGGCAACGUUGCCGACUUCAAGAAGCCGCUCAUCGAGGAGCUGAAUCCUGCUGUCGACGACGAGCGAGAGCCGACAGCAUCAGAGGCGGCGGCAGCCGCACCAGCCGCCUCUGUGUCUUUUCAAGCGGCCGCUAAUGCUGCUGCGCCGCCUGGGCCGCGUACGCGGCUGGCGAUUCCUCGAGUGUGCCCGUCGCUGAAGUUUACUCGAGAGGAGACGGAGGUGCUGAUGCGCGUAAAGCUGCCGCGGCUGCUUUUUCCUCCCUCGCCGGCAGAGGUGGAGGCGCUGACGGCGGACCUCCUCUUUAGCGAGGCCUACGACGACCUCGUGACGGAGGGCAGCGGCUGCAGCGAGUCCUUGUGGAACCUCACACAACUGAGCCCGGCCCUCUCCUACCUCGACCCGGCGGACACACUCUACGACGCAUGCGUCGCGUUUGCGCGCCGCGCGCUAGUGUACCCGCUGUACCGCCACUGCGCCCUGCUGCAGCGGGUGUGGGCGGUGGUGGGUACACGGCUACUGCUGGGGCGCAACUACACCAUCCGUGCCCUUUUACGCAUGCGCAUUAUUCUGUCCCACGCGGAGCACAAACACCUCUUGUCGACCAUCUACCUGGACCCUCUGAUUGCAUACUGGAUGCACGUUUCCGAGGCGGACGAGCGGCUGAUACGCAUGGCGCUCGAGAUCCACCAGCACGUCUCCCGGACGGAGCCGAUGACGGUGUCGGCGGCGUCGACGCGGGGGGCUUCUGCUCUGCAGUCGAUGUUGGUGGAUGCGAAGAAGGUGACGCUCUACCCGCUUACGCUCGUGCACCUCGGACUCCCGUUAUCGGAGGAGGAGGAGGGUCGCUGCGAGGGGUGAUAGUCUGCGUGAGUUUGUGUGCCUUCUUUAGCUGUUGUCCGCUGCCGUUGGACUCGGCAUCCUGUGGGAAUGCUAAGGAUGCGCUGGACGAGAGCGAUACGCGUAUAAGCUGUUUCCAGCGCACAGG
This 2020-nucleotide unclassified non-coding RNA is filed under the name Leishmania donovani. RNAcentral's name for it is "gene:LdHU3.32.5090(CDS-product:SHQ1_protein_putat ive)". Lineage: Eukaryota; Euglenozoa; Kinetoplastea; Trypanosomatida; Trypanosomatidae. The record is from RNAcentral.